This 1285-nucleotide ribosomal RNA is filed under the name Janthinobacterium sp. 164. Its description in RNAcentral is "bacterial SSU rRNA". It matches the Rfam family "Bacterial small subunit ribosomal RNA", at positions 111 to 1394 of the family's 1533-position model. The record is from RNAcentral. Lineage: Bacteria; Pseudomonadati; Pseudomonadota; Betaproteobacteria; Burkholderiales; Oxalobacteraceae.
UAAUAUAUCGGAACGUGCCCUGGAGUGGGGGAUAACGCAGCGAAAGUUGCGCUAAUACCGCAUACGAUCUAAGGAUGAAAGCGGGGGAUUCGCAAGAACCUCGUGCUCCUGGAGCGGCCGAUAUCUGAUUAGCUAGUUGGUGGGGUAAAGGCCUACCAAGGCAUCGAUCAGUAGCUGGUCUGAGAGGACGACCAGCCACACUGGAACUGAGACACGGUCCAGACUCCUACGGGAGGCAGCAGUGGGGAAUUUUGGACAAUGGGCGCAAGCCUGAUCCAGCAAUGCCGCGUGAGUGAAGAAGGCCUUCGGGUUGUAAAGCUCUUUUGUCAGGGAAGAAACGGUGUGGGCUAAUAUCCCGCACUAAUGGACGGUACCUGAAGAAUAAGCACCGGCUAACUACGUGCCAGCAGCCGCGGUAAUACGUAGGGUGCAAGCGUUAAUCGGAAUUACUGGGCGUAAAGCGUGCGCAGGCGGUUUUGUAAGUCUGUCGUGAAAUCCCCGGGCUCAACCUGGGAAUUGCGAUGGAGACUGCAAGGCUAGAAUCUGGCAGAGGGGGGUAGAAUUCCACGUGUAGCAGUGAAAUGCGUAGAGAUGUGGAGGAACACCGAUGGCGAAGGCAGCCCCCUGGGUCAAGAUUGACGCUCAUGCACGAAAGCGUGGGGAGCAAACAGGAUUAGAUACCCUGGUAGUCCACGCCCUAAACGAUGUCUACUAGUUGUCGGGUUUUAAUUAACUUGGUAACGCAGCUAACGCGUGAAGUAGACCGCCUGGGGAGUACGGUCGCAAGAUUAAAACUCAAAGGAAUUGACGGGGACCCGCACAAGCGGUGGAUGAUGUGGAUUAAUUCGAUGCAACGCGAAAAACCUUACCUACCCUUGACAUGUACGGAAGCCACGAGAGAUCGAGGCGUGCUCGAAAGAGAGCCGUAACACAGGUGCUGCAUGGCUGUCGUCAGCUCGUGUCGUGAGAUGUUGGGUUAAGUCCCGCAACGAGCGCAACCCUUGUCAUUAGUUGCUACGAAAGAGCACUCUAAUGAGACUGCCGGUGACAAACCGGAGGAAGGUGGGGAUGACGUCAAGUCCUCAUGGCCCUUAUGGGUAGGGCUUCACACGUCAUACAAUGGUACAUACAGAGGGCCGCCAACCCGCGAGGGGGAGCUAAUCCCAGAAAGUGUAUCGUAGUCCGGAUUGUAGUCUGCAACUCGACUACAUGAAGUUGGAAUCGCUAGUAAUCGCGGAUCAGCAUGUCGCGGUGUGAUAUACGCCCGGGUCUUGUACACACCGCC